RNAcentral lists this long non-coding RNA (1155 nucleotides) under Malus domestica (apple). RNAcentral's name for it is "long non-coding RNA (MDOM_LNC005209)". The record is from RNAcentral. Lineage: Eukaryota; Viridiplantae; Streptophyta; Magnoliopsida; Rosales; Rosaceae.
AGGUUUGUCUGUACUACAUGUUUGUGUUAAGUUGAGGUUUUUCACAUUACUAUUUUGAUAUUACUGUCAUGUUGUUGCUGCUAUAAUGCUUCAAUAAUAUCUGAUCCACAAAAAGUCUUAGCUACAGUGGCUUUACCAUGUUAUCAUAUUAUCGUGGUAAAACAAACCAAUAAUGAAAUGAACAGUAGUUUAUUGUUGGCGGGAUCCAUCAUCCAUAAAAUAUGAAUUCACCUUUAGAGGACCCAUAUCACAUGAAUGAUGUAGUUCCAUUGAAAAAUGAUAAGAGUUCCACCAACAAUGAAUGCAUGCCAUUUUAUUAUUGAUUUUGUUGUAUCUAAGAAUUCCUCAUGAUGUUUAAGAAUUCCUCAUGAUGUUUAAGGGGUUUUAAUUGGCGGGCUUUCUUUCUUCAGAGAAAAAAUAACUGAAAUUUACUGUUCUCUCAUGCAGUGGCAUGGGUCCAGAUUUCAGAGUUCUGGUUCGGAAAAGUAGGAAACAGGCUGAGCAAUAUCAUCAGUUGUAUAAAGUAUAUCUCAAAUUUUGUGUCUUUCAUCUUUUAUUCUUUUUAUUUUUAGCCAUAGUAUUGAUAUUGUUCUUUGAACAUAUGCUAAGUAUUGGAAUUUCAGUUUACGUUCCUUAGAAGAAUCCUAUUGAAUCGUUAUUCUCCUUGAUGUGCACCACAGCAUUUAAAGCAUUUUUUUGGUAAUAUCAUUGUUUAUAUAUUGGUUUUUAGCUUUUAAAUAUAGUGAAUGAAUAUUUUUUGGUCGUGUGAUCGGGCAUAGAGUCUUAAGUGAUACCUCCCUUUGGCCAUCCGCAUUCCUACCCCAAUAUGUUAUAACGAGUCUCAACUUGAAACAAGUUGAUUUAUUACUUUAUAUAGUCACCCACCCAGUUAGUUACUGUAAUUUGUAUUUUUUGUUAUGUAACUUACAAUUUGAUUUGGUGGGUAUUUACAGGAACCUAUCCCUGUUACACAACUAGUGAGGGAAGUUGCUGCUGUUAUGCAGGAGUUCACACAGUCUGGGUAAUUAUCAUUUUUUCUCACAACCUGGUUUACCUACCUUAAGAUUUUUAACGAUCUUGAUCCUAAAUUAUCCUUCUUGGUCCGAACUUUUAAUAAAUUAAAAGGUUUUAAUGCUUGAGUUGUUUAUAUAGAAA